Molecule: transfer RNA, 83 nt
Filed under: Caudoviricetes sp.
Lineage: Duplodnaviria; Heunggongvirae; Uroviricota; Caudoviricetes
Description: tRNA-Tyr
Rfam family: tRNA
About the family: Transfer RNA (tRNA) molecules are approximately 80 nucleotides in length. Their secondary structure includes four short double-helical elements and three loops (D, anti-codon, and T loops).
Source: RNAcentral
GGCUGGUUGCCGCAGCGGCCGACCGGACCCGGCCGUAAACCGGGCGCCCCACAGCCACGCAGGUUCGAAUCCUGCACCAGCCA